This is a non-coding RNA of Microcebus murinus (gray mouse lemur), 1139 nucleotides long. The record is from RefSeq and is a predicted model, not a curated record. Lineage: Eukaryota; Metazoa; Chordata; Mammalia; Primates; Cheirogaleidae.
GUUCCCCCCAGCUCUCACUGGCUCCUUCCAGGACAUCUGCAUGGCCUGCUCUUAUUUCUCCUUUAAUUCCUUGGCAAAAGUCACCUUACCAAUGAAGACUUCCCAGGCCAUCCUAUUUGAAAAUUGCAACUCUUACCUCAUCUGAAUUUAAGCUCCAUAAAGCUGGGAUUUUUGUCCUUUAUUUUUUCCUACUUCACUGGCAACUCUUGGUAGAACAGUACCUGAUGCACAGUUCUAUCUCUAGAGACACAAUGAUGGGGUAGUCUGAGCUGGUCCAGAUGCCCUGAGACAAGGAGGGUAACAAGUCACAUGUUCUUAGAUGGAAUUGGCAAAAUGUCACCAAGACUCACCCAAAGUCUCUUUCUAAGGUAUGUAUGAACAUCUUUCCAACACAACCUUUCUGUAGUAGCACAUACAACUCAGCAGCUUCACAUGGUACCUGGCUGUCAAAUGAAGUAAACUCCUUGCAAAAACAUGUGAGUUGUCCUUGACCUCUACUGGGUCGUCUUCCAGGUGAUGCCUCAAUGUUAAUUCAGUGUAAAAAUUAAUUCCAUGUAUAAAUGUUUCAAAGCUCUGGCUCAGUAGUCCAUGGUUGGUACUGAGUUCACAAAAUUCUCACCAGGAGUAGUGAACGUUGCUUUAGAAUCUCAGUGGGCCAGUCAUCACCACGAGGGCGCUGCUCAACAAUAUCAAGAGACUGAAUACAAGUGGCGACAGUGAGGGCCAAAGACUACAUUUCUCCCCUGCAUCUGUGCAAGCACAUGCCAGCCUGCCAUGUAGUUGCCUCCCUCAAAAUCCAUCCAGAAUUCCUCUUUAGGAACUGACUUUUGAACUAUACCCAGGAAAUUCAAUCUUGGGCCAGGGGAUAGUCUCCUUUGGUCUGUUUUUAUACUUUUUCUCUUUUUCUUCUUCCCUUCCUUUGACAUGCCUUUUGUCUUUCCUUUUCUUCCUUUUUCCUCUCUAACCUUCCUUCCUCCCUCCCUCUUUCAAUAUGCUUUACCUAACCUAAGUGCCAAGCACUGAGUAUAAAAGAUAAAUAAGAAGCUAUAAUAUUAUUAGAACAUGUGACCACUUGGGAGGCUGAGAUAGGAAGAAUGCUUGAGGGCCAGGAGUUAGAGGCUGCAGUGAGCCGUGAUUGU